Molecule: long non-coding RNA, 549 nt
Organism: Thrips palmi
Lineage: Eukaryota; Metazoa; Arthropoda; Insecta; Thysanoptera; Thripidae
Exons: 3
Source: RefSeq, a predicted model, not a curated record
UUUGGGAUGAAACUUAUUCUCUGCCACUCCAACAUCAAGUGAAAGCUACGUGGAUCUCAGCAAGUAUUUGUGUUUAGACCCAGAGACAUUUGGCCUUCUGUUCCUAUCAAAAUUAAAAGGAAUUUAUAUACUGGCAGGGAUGGCAGCAUACUCCAGAGAUAUUUGUGUGCGAGCAUCCAGUGUGUGAUACACUGGUUAUUCUUCAUAAUUUUGAAGUAAUGAAGAUAAAUCAACACAUCAGUCCAGGUUUACUAAUAAAUACUAUUCGGGUGUGCGCUUUCAUAGCAAUGAUACGAGGUGCAUCCUUUGAUUUGGAGAAGCUGACAGUAGCAAACACUUUAUUAUUGGAGUGAUAUGUAUCUUAAAUCUAAAUUAGAGACCAGUGCUAAAGCAGUUGUGUUUCUCACUGUUGCAUCAAUCAUGAAAUGUUACGAGUAUUUGCACCCCCAAAUAUACUCCUUGAAUUAAACGGGUUUGAUUCAGCUCCCAUUUUUGUUUGUAAGUUAACCGAAGUGAACCACCCGAAAGUAUUGUCAUCAGUUCAUAGAA